CGGUAGCGUANGACACUAACCACUUCGAACAGGGGGAUAACAUCGAGAAAUUGGUACUAAUACCCCAUAACAUCACCGGAGGCAUCUUCGGUGGUUGAAAACUCAGGUGGUCAGAGAUGGACAUGCGUUGUAUUAGCUAGUUGGUGAGGUAACGGCUCACCAAGGCGACGAUACAUAGGGGGACUGAGAGGUCAACCCCCCACAUUGGUACUGAGACACGGACCAAACUCCUACGGGAGGCAGCAG
This 246-nucleotide ribosomal RNA is filed under the name uncultured bacterium. RNAcentral's name for it is "partial 16S ribosomal RNA". It matches the Rfam family "Bacterial small subunit ribosomal RNA", at positions 100 to 354 of the family's 1533-position model. The record is from RNAcentral.